RNAcentral lists this unclassified non-coding RNA (302 nucleotides) under rhizosphere metagenome. RNAcentral's name for it is "partial ribosomal RNA internal transcribed spacer region". The record is from RNAcentral.
GUGGGUGAACCUGCGGAAGGAUCAUUAACACGUAUCCAACGUUAAACCCCCCGUGAACGUACAAUCUUUUGGUUCUCCGGUUACGCGAAACAAUGGUUGCAAUCCCUGGUCAACAGUUUUGAUCAGGGACUUCAAGCACGUAACUGUCAUAAUAAAAGAGGAUUUCCCGGCGUAAGCUUUACUUGACCCGGUGAGUGGGUUCGACUAUCCCAAGGUAUGGCGUGCUAUGUGAAAGUGUUCAACCUGCUUAUGUUUAUCUUUGUAAAGUAGAAAGGUCACAAGAUGCUGUAAGAUCCACGCUU